AUCUUCAAAGGCAACCCCAGGUAGAGCACAUUACAGUAAUCCAAGCGAGAGAUGAUGAGGACAUGAGUUACUGUUGCCAGGGCCUCACAGUUGAGAUAGGGCCACAACUGGCAAACCAGGCGAAGCUGGGCAAAGGCACCUCUAGCCACAGCCUCCACCUGCUGCUUGAACAGGAGCUGUGAGUCCAAGAGAACCCUCCUCCCAAGUCACAGACCACCUCCUUCAGCUAAACAUUGUGCCGGGAAAGAUGCAUCCAGACAGAAAUCAACAGGUGGCGCUUCCCUACCCAUGCAAGGUGCAUUCUGACAUUAUACUGUACAUAGUAUACAACAAACGGACUGUUCAGAUAAUGUGACAUGCAGUAGAUAUACUUUCUCACAAAACCAGGUUGUGGUAUUAAGUGCUACAGUGCUAUGUGAGAUAUGAUGAUGCCAUGGAUGCUGGUAAAGAAAAUCAUAUGGAUCCCUAUUGACAAUUGGAUUAAACAGCUGAGUGGAUAAAUCAGGUCAAGGAACAAGGCCAAAGAAGGAACGUGGUGCUAAGAAGCAGUAGCACAAAUCAGGAACAAAGGAGCACUGAUCAGCAUAUAAACAUUGCAAAUGUCUAUCAAGGCGAGAUUUCUUUGGGUAAUGAGCCUGAUACUACCACUGAAGCAAAUCUUGA
Hemicordylus capensis (graceful crag lizard) is the source of this 663-nucleotide long non-coding RNA. RefSeq lists it as uncharacterized. The record is from RefSeq and is a predicted model, not a curated record. NCBI's taxonomy places the organism in Eukaryota, Metazoa, Chordata, Lepidosauria, Squamata, Cordylidae. The transcript has 3 exons.